Molecule: non-coding RNA, 72 nt
Organism: Ictidomys tridecemlineatus (thirteen-lined ground squirrel)
Lineage: Eukaryota; Metazoa; Chordata; Mammalia; Rodentia; Sciuridae
Source: Rfam
UGGGUUGUGGCUCAGUAAUAGAGCGCUUGCCUAGUAUGCAUGAGGCACUGGGUUUGAUCCCUGGUACCGCAU